RNAcentral lists this ribosomal RNA (492 nucleotides) under uncultured bacterium. RNAcentral's name for it is "partial 16S ribosomal RNA". It matches the Rfam family "Bacterial small subunit ribosomal RNA", at positions 30 to 507 of the family's 1533-position model. The record is from RNAcentral.
AUUGAACGCUGGCGGCAGGCCUAACACAUGCAAGUCGAACGGUAACAGGGUGAGACUUGCUUCUUACCGGAGGCGUGGCGGGCGGGGGAGAGAUGUACAGCAGACUCUCCUUUGUCGUGGGGUAACUCGUGGAAACGGUUACUAUAACAGCGUAUAGUCCCUACGGCUAAAAGCAGGGGCUCUUCGCACCUUGCGCGCGUGUAUGCGCCGAUGGCGGAUUAGCUAGUGGGCGGGGUAAAGGCACACCAAGGCGACGAUCCGUAGCUGGUCUGAGAGGAUGAUCAGCCACACUGGAACUGAGACACGGUCCAGACUCCUACGGGAGGCAGCAGUGGGGAAUAUUGGACAAUGGGCGCAAGCCUGAUCCAGCCAUGCCGCGUGGGUGAAGAAGGCCUUCGGGUUGUAAAGCCCUUUUGUCGGGAAAGAAGAGCAGCAGGUUAAUACCUCGCUGUAUUGACGUUACCCAAAGAAUAAGCACCGGCUAACUUCGUG